UCAUUCCUCCGGCUUGCCGUAGGAAAAAAAAAAAAAAAAAAAGCAAACUCGUGGAAGGUCGUAGGAGGAUGUCUUACGUCAAAUUGAUGUCACUGUGUGUCCCAGCUCCUGGGCUGCCGGUGUUGCUGAGCAGCACAGUCCUGGCUGCCAGUGAAGGGAAGAAGGACUCACAGCAAAGUCUCAGCAUUGAAGAACUGCCAUCUUUAUACACCAGACCUGAACCAGAGAUUUCUUUUGUUGAGCCGGAAGCAGGGCCACAGCCGCUGGAGCAGAGCAUAGCUGCAGUCAGGAAAUGGGCAGAACCAUACACGCACAAAUGUCAGCAAACAUGCCAGUCUGGACUGGACAGAGUUGAGAAAGCUUACAGCACUGUGGAGCCUACCAUCACCGCCUCCAUAACAAAGGUCACAGAUGGGUACCAGUUCCUCAGAGACCCACCUCCUGGUGUCGUCCUCAGUCUGUCAGUUGUGGGCUUCUCUGGUUUCCUGGGACUUUAUUUGUCCAAAGGUUCCAGGGUAAAGCGAUUGGUAUUUCCUGUUGGUCUCAUGGCACUUAGUGCUUCUGUGUUUUACCCUCAGCAGGCUGUCUCCUUAUUAAAGACAAGUCGAGACUCUGCAUAUACAUGGACUCAGCGCGGCCGUGUUACCAUGGAAACUCUUUGGAAAGAGCCACCGUUUGGCAAAAAGAAGACUGAGAAGAAAGAGCAAACAGAGAGGACGAAUACGACCAGCUGAGAAUGGAGGAGCACCAUCCAGACAGAAGGUGAAUUUUGACCUUCCAUCAAACAGACGCUCACUCUGGCACUGGGCAGCACUCCCCUUGAACAGCUUUCAACAUUUUACGACUGCGUGCAGAAACAACAAGGAACAUUUGGUGUCAACUGAUGCAUUCAGUUGUGCUGUCAUGUUUUUUUUAUUGUUCUUUCAGAAUGUGCACAUUUGAUUUCUCUAGAAGAAUUUAGCUCACAGUGCCAUCAUUAUAAAACAAGGUUCCGACAAUAAAGGAACAAACUUUUUUUUCCAUUGCGUUGCAACUCAGUUUUCUCAUGAAUGAAUUUAAUGUUAAUAUUUGAUUUCUGGCUAAUAAUGCAGUGUAUGUUUUUUCUUCAUACAGUCGAGUUAAUCUUACUAUCUGAGUCAACACUUUUCUUCACCGGUCUUGAAAUCAGAACAGUCACAAGUUACAUAAUCAUAAUUUAAGAAUAAAGGAUCAUGAACUGCAGGUGUAGGUGUGGUUUUCAUGUUUUGUCAUGUGAGUCAGGCCAUGAAUGCUUCCCUUGUCUUGGUGCAUGUAGUUGAAAUGGAUCACGUAGUGUCAGAUUUAUUUUUACACACAGCAAAAUAAAAUAAAAAUUGUGUGAAUAUAUUUGAGGACCUCAUGCUAGUA
RNA transcript from Thalassophryne amazonica, 1386 nucleotides. It is a transcript of the gene named apolipoprotein O, b, with no coding region annotated. The record is from RefSeq and is a predicted model, not a curated record. The transcript has 10 exons. Lineage: Eukaryota; Metazoa; Chordata; Actinopteri; Batrachoidiformes; Batrachoididae.